RNAcentral lists this ribosomal RNA (506 nucleotides) under uncultured bacterium. Its description in RNAcentral is "partial 16S ribosomal RNA". It matches the Rfam family "Bacterial small subunit ribosomal RNA", at positions 30 to 523 of the family's 1533-position model. The record is from RNAcentral.
AUUGAACGCUGGCGGCAGGCCUAACACAUGCAGGUCGAACGGUAGCACAGAGGAGCUUGCUCCUUGGGUGACGAGUGGCGGACGGGUGAGUAAUGUCUGGGAAACUGCCCGAUGGAGGGGGAUAACUACUGGAAACGGUAGCUAAUACCGCAUAACGUCGCAAGACCAAAGAGGGGGACCUUCGGGCCUCUUGCCAUCGGAUGUGCCCAGAUGGGAUUAGCUAGUAGGUGGGGUAACGGCUCACCUAGGCGACGAUCCCUAGCUGGUCUGAGAGGAUGACCAGACACACUGGAACUGAGACACGGUCCAAACUCCUACGGGAGGCAGCAGUGGGGAAUAUUGCACAAUGGGCGCAAGCCUGAUGCAGCCAUGCCGCGUGUAUGAAGAAGGCCUUCGGGUUGUAAAGUACUUUCAGCGAGGAGGAAGGCGUUGUGGUUAAUAACCGCAACGAUUGACGUUACUCGCGGAAGAAGCACCGGCUAACUCCGUGCCAGCCGCCGCCGUAA